UAGGGAAUCUUCGGCAAUGGACGAAAGUCUGACCGAGCAACGCCGCGUGAGUGAAGAAGGUUUUCGGAUCGUAAAACUCUGUUGUUAGAGAAGAACAAGGACGUUAGUAACUGAACGUCCCCUGACGGUAUCUAACCAGAAAGCCACGGCUAAUUACGUGCCAGCAGCCGCGGUAAUACGUAGGUGGCAAGCGUUGUCCGGAUUUAUUGGGCGUAAAGCGAGCGCAGGCGGUUUCUUAAGUCUGAUGUGAAAGCCCCCGGCUCAACCGGGGAGGGUCAUUGGAAACUGGGAGACUUGAGUGCAGAAGAGGCGAGUGGAAUUCCAUGUGUAGCGGUGAAAUGCGUAGAUAUAUGGAGGAACACCAGUGGCGAAGGCGGCUCUCUGGUCUGUAACUGACGCUGAGGCUCGAAAGCGUGGGGAGCAAACAGG
Molecule: ribosomal RNA, 429 nt
Filed under: Gemmatimonadota bacterium
Lineage: Bacteria; Pseudomonadati; Gemmatimonadota
Description: Gemmatimonadetes bacterium partial 16S ribosomal RNA
Rfam family: Bacterial small subunit ribosomal RNA
Source: RNAcentral